AUUGAACGCUGGCGGCAUGCCUUACACAUGCGAGUCGAACGGCAGCACGGGUGCUGGCACCUGGUGGCGAGUGGCGAACGGGGGAGUAAUACAUCUGAACAUGUCCUUUAGUUGGGGAUAGCCCGGAGAAAGCCGGACUAAUACCGCAUACGAUCCACGCAUGAAAGCGGAGGCACUUCAGGCCUCGACCUAUCGCGAUUGCCGAUGGCGGAUUAGCUAGUUGGUGGGGUAAAGGCCAACCAAGGCGACGAUCAGUAGCUGGUCUGAGAGGACGACCAGCCACACUGGGACUGAGACACGGCCCAGACUCCUACGGGAGGCAGCAGUGGGGAAUUUUGGACAAUGGGCGAAAGCCUGAUCCAGCAAUGCCGCGUGUGUGAAGAAGGCCUUCGGGUUGUAAAGCCCUUUUGUUGGGAAAGAAAUCCUUGACUCUAAUACCGUGGGGGGAUGACGGUACCGGAAGAAUAAGCACCGGCUAACUACGUG
This 486-nucleotide ribosomal RNA is filed under the name uncultured bacterium. RNAcentral describes it as "partial 16S ribosomal RNA". It matches the Rfam family "Bacterial small subunit ribosomal RNA", at positions 30 to 507 of the family's 1533-position model. The record is from RNAcentral.